This 253-nucleotide unclassified non-coding RNA is filed under the name uncultured Caryophanales bacterium. RNAcentral's name for it is "uncultured Bacillales bacterium contains 16S-23S intergenic spacer region". It matches the Rfam family "Bacterial small subunit ribosomal RNA", at positions 524 to 776 of the family's 1533-position model. The record is from RNAcentral. Lineage: Bacteria; Bacillati; Bacillota; Bacilli; Caryophanales.
UACGUAGGGGGCAAGCGUUGUCCGGAAUUAUUGGGCGUAAAGCGCGCGCAGGCGGCCUUUUAAGUCUGAUGUGAAAUCUUGCGGCUUAACCGCAAGCGGUCAUUGAAAACUGGAGGGCUUGAGUACAGAAGAGGAGAGCGGAAUUCCACGUGUAGCGGUGAAAUGCGUAGAGAUGUGGAGGAACACCAGUGGCGAAGGCGACUUUCUGGUCUGUAACUGACGCUGAGGCGCGAAAGCGUGGGGAGCAAACAGG